Bombina bombina (fire-bellied toad) is the source of this 788-nucleotide long non-coding RNA. RefSeq lists it as uncharacterized. The transcript has 3 exons. The record is from RefSeq and is a predicted model, not a curated record. NCBI's taxonomy places the organism in Eukaryota, Metazoa, Chordata, Amphibia, Anura, Bombinatoridae.
AGGAUCCUUUCGGAAUACUAAAGCCGGCCCACAUUUGACUGUUUUUUUUAAUAAUAACUGCUGCUGCUGCUGAGUGUUGGUACAAUUUUCUCAAAGACAUUUUCCAUCUCUGAAAGGAUCCUUUCAGAAUUCUAAAUCCGGCCCUUAUUUGACUGUGUAUUUAAUAAUUGCUGCUUUUGCUGCUGCUGAGAGUUGGUACAAUUUUAUAAAAGGCAUUUUCCAUCACUGAAAGGUUCCUUUCUGAUUUAUAAGUCUGUGCUUUGUUUGUCUGUGUAUUUAAAAAAUUGAGGAGCACUGACUACAAGUGCUUCGUUUCUGUACUGCUGGAGUUUUCGUUUCUGUACUGCUGGAGUUGUGCUGAGAACAGGAUCCUUUCUGAUUUCUAAGUCUGGCCUUUGUUUGUCUGUGUAUUUACAAAAUUAAGGAGCACCAACUAGUCUACAAAUGCUUCAUUUCUGUACUGCUGGAGUUGUGCUAGAAACGGGAAGAUACUUUCAGAUUUGCUAAAUCUGGCCUUUGUUUGACUGUUUAUUUACAAAUUUAAGAGCAACAAUUACAAAUGCUUUGUUUAUGGACUACAAAUUAAUCUACAGACUGCUGAUGGAACUGAGCUGAAAACAAAUCAGUUUCUGUAUUUUUCGAAAAAUGCUGCUUACUGCUGCUGCUGACAAUAUUCUUCCAUCUCUAUAUAAAAAUAAUUAUUCAUGCCAAUUAUUGGUGUUGUGGGGAGGAUUGUGGAGAAUUUUUUCAAGUGUUUAUUGAUUAUUAAAAAUAAAAUAAUAUAUAAA